AAUUGACUUACAAUUUUAAGUCAGUCUGUUUUAUUGGAAUCUCAGUGUCAGUAGACUUGCUUCCAACGUGGUUUUAGUGCCUAUUUUUUGACCACAUGAUUGAAUGUUCUAAACUUAUUCGAUUAAUCCUGUCUUUAGUAUUUUAGGUUUUCAUUUUUCUGCUUUUAUAAGCUUUCUCCUAGCUGAAUCUUCCUGUGCAGUCUUUGUUAUGUCUUUAAGUUUAAAGUCUUAAGAAUGGAAUCGCUGGGGAGACGUGUAUAUAUCUUAAACUAUUUUUUAGAUUUUUUUUUUGCAGUAUCUUCUAAACAAGUAUUACCAAUCUGAUGUAGGAACAGUGGUGUAUCAGCAUAGUUUCCCCGCAGAAGUAUAUCUGACCUGAUGUUUCUCUUACUGAAAGUGUUAAUGACAGUAGUUUCGUCUUUGGAGUGUGUCCUCUGUGUCACAGUGAGGGCUGGCUGGCCUCUGUGAUGUUUCUCUUACUGAAAGUGUUAAUGACAGUAGUUUCGUCUUUGGAGUGUGUCCUCUGUGUCACAGUGAGGGCUGGCUGGCCUCUGUGAUGUUUCUCUUACUG
RNAcentral lists this long non-coding RNA (571 nucleotides) under Bos taurus (domestic cattle). Its description in RNAcentral is "long non-coding RNA NONBTAT015382". The record is from RNAcentral. Lineage: Eukaryota; Metazoa; Chordata; Mammalia; Artiodactyla; Bovidae.